RNAcentral lists this unclassified non-coding RNA (359 nucleotides) under uncultured fungus. Its description in RNAcentral is "partial contains 5.8S ribosomal RNA and internal transcribed spacer 2". The stretch from base 2 to 126 matches the Rfam family "5.8S ribosomal RNA", at positions 23 to 154 of the family's 154-position model. The record is from RNAcentral. Lineage: Eukaryota; Fungi.
AGGCUCUCGCAACGAUGAAGAACGCAGCGAAAUGCGAUACGUAAUGUGAAUUGCAGAAUUCCGUGAAUCAUUGAAUCUUUGAACGCAUAUUGCACUCUAUUUUAGAGUAUGCCUGUUUGAGAAUCUAUAGUAACUCUUUUCUGGUUUUACUGGAAAGACUUGGCGCGUCUCUCGGUGAGAGUGCGCUUAAAGCUAUAGCUUGUCGCCCAAGGAGCGCCAGAGCAAAAUUGUUUGAAGCCGCAAGGUAGCUGCAACUAGCUCUGGGGCAACGUUCCUAGGAGACUUGCCCAAAACCUAGGAGGUCGGCACUACACGCCGGCCCGAACCAUGGUCUCAAAUCAGGUAGGAGGACCCGCUGA